UGGGGAAUAUUGCACAAUGGGCGCAAGCCUGAUGCAGCCAUGCCGCGUGUGUGAAGAAGGCCUUCGGGUUGUAAAGCACUUUCAGCGGGGAGGAAGGCGAUAAGGUUAAUAACCUCAUCGAUUGACGUUACCCGCAGAAGAAGCACCGGCUAACUCCGUGCCAGCAGCCGCGGUAAUACGGAGGGUGCAAGCGUUAAUCGGAAUUACUUGGCGUAAAGCGCACGCAGGCGGUCUGUCAAGUCGGAUGUGAAAUCCCCGGGCUCAACCUGGGAACUGCAUUCGAAACUGGCAGGCUAGAGUCUUGUAGAGGGGGGUAGAAUUCCAGGUGUAGCGGUGAAAUGCGUAGAGAUCUGGAGGAAUACCGGUGGCGAAGGCGGCCCCCUGGACAAAGACUGACGCUCAGGUGCGAAAGCGUGGGGAGCAAACAGG
Molecule: ribosomal RNA, 429 nt
Filed under: Chloroflexota bacterium
Lineage: Bacteria; Bacillati; Chloroflexota
Description: Chloroflexi bacterium partial 16S ribosomal RNA
Rfam family: Bacterial small subunit ribosomal RNA
Source: RNAcentral